Molecule: non-coding RNA, 221 nt
Organism: Camellia sinensis
Lineage: Eukaryota; Viridiplantae; Streptophyta; Magnoliopsida; Ericales; Theaceae
Source: RefSeq, a predicted model, not a curated record
GAAUGAAGAGGAAAUAUGGGAAAAUUUAUGGAAUUACUUCAAGAGAUUGGCUCUAGGUCAAGACGAGGACAUCGUUCCACCGCUAUCAGAGACCUACCGCUGUAAUUACUUUGGGAGUCCGUCUUAACCCUUGAUGCUUACCCUUCAAUUUUCAACCUCAGUAUGCCCAGACUCCUAGACCAAGCUCAUGCAUUUAUGUGAAGUUUUGUUAAGAUUUUGGC